This 253-nucleotide ribosomal RNA is filed under the name uncultured bacterium. Its description in RNAcentral is "partial 16S ribosomal RNA". It matches the Rfam family "Bacterial small subunit ribosomal RNA", at positions 524 to 776 of the family's 1533-position model. The record is from RNAcentral.
UACAGAGGGUGCAAGCGUUAAUCGGAGUUACUGGGCGUAAAGGGCGCGUAGGCGGUUUAAUAAGUUUGCUGUGAAAUCCCUGGGCUUAACCUAGGAACUGCAUCGAUGACUGUUAAGCUAGAGUAUUGUAGAGGGUAGUGGAAUUCCCGGUGUAGCGGUGAAAUGCGCAGAUAUCGGGAGGAACACCGGUGGCGAAGGCGGUUCUCUGGAACGGUACUGACGCUGAGACGCGAAAGCGUGGGGAGCGAACAGG